Molecule: long non-coding RNA, 663 nt
Organism: Vigna unguiculata (cowpea)
Lineage: Eukaryota; Viridiplantae; Streptophyta; Magnoliopsida; Fabales; Fabaceae
Source: RefSeq, a predicted model, not a curated record
AAAAGCUUAAAAAAGAAUCCUUAAAGGUGUCUUUAGAAGAAAAUAGGGUAUGCUCAGAAAUCUUGAGAUGAAUUUAGAAGAAAUAGAAGGUGCUCGCUGAAAAGAAGCUCAACCACCAACAGCAGGUGAAGUUAGAAGAACAUGGGUGCACACAGAGACCCAGCCCAAAGUCGCAGGUGCAGUAAGAAGAAAAUGAAAUGUGGUGCAGAACCCACCGGAACUGGUGCCGGCGGCGAGCUCCAUGGAGUUACAACAAGAGGCGUGUGGCUGCCGGAAGCGCCUGGUUUGACGACGGGUGCGGCCAUGGGUCUAGCAUCGGCGGCAAGACUUGCAAAAUGAAAUUGAGUGAUGAAUAAUUAUCAGCGUAUCUCUAAUGAUGAAGAUGAAUGUGCUUGAACGAGGACCGAAAUUACACUGAUCACAACAUUGUGGAUGUUUAUCUCUUCUUCAACCCAAAUGCAUUUGGAGCAAGAGAUGAUUAAUUAAGUGUAUAAAUGUGAUUACAUUUGUUUUCUAGUGUUAAAAUUAAAUCAACAUCAAUUUAGACAAUUAUCUUGUGACCCUUUUUUCAUAGGCUAAGGCUGCGACUUUUUCACAGCUGCUACAACUGUAAUAAACUCAACUUUAGGAGUUGACUGAACUACAACCUCUUGCUUCUUUGAA